UGUGCCAGGCUGGGGAUCGAACCCAUGUUCUGGCACACCCAAGACACCGCCAAUCCCAUUGUGCCACAGCGGGAACUCCCAGAAAAUCUAUUUGAAAACUUGAUAAGGGAGAAAGGUCACAUGCAAAGAUCUUCCUUGUUAAAAAUGAAGAGUUAACCUCAACGCCCAACAGCGGAGGAGCUGGCUAAGUAAACAAUGAAAACUCUAAAUGAAAUAUUACGCUGGUGUGAAGACUCAUGAUUACAGCAUCUGUGGAAUGCUGCAGAGUGGAUGCUUAUGCGGUCGGUAGAGACGACACAAGGUCAUGUAAACACGGUGAUUGCGAGUAUGUGAAACAGCAACACUGUGUAAAGGAUGGCAAAGAAAGAGAUACAGACAUCAUUCUCGUUGCAUGCCGGGACUCCGGGCAUCUUCUCUCCCUGCUUUCCAGCUUAUCCAGAUAGUCUUAUUCUAUAAGGAACUCGAGGGGUUCCCUUGUGGCUCAGCAGAUUGGGGGUCUGGCGUUGGUUGUCCCCACCACAGCUCAGGUCGCUGCUGUGGCAUGGGUUCGAUCCCUGGUCCUGGCACUUCUGCAUGUGCAGAAGUGGCCACAAAAAAGGGAACUCAGGAGUGUUCAGUUGUAAUGGCGAGGCCUGGGCCAGCCUAAACUCCACACGGCAGACCCUCGUGAUGGGUGACAGGCACUGCCGAAGAAGCACGUGGAGUCCGCGGUGCUGCGGGCGCACCCGUGCUGAGGCCCCAGGCCCCGUCUCUGCUUGGCGGAGCUCACUGACCUAUCGCAGCAGACCUUACCCUGGCUCAUCCUGCCUCACCCUGCCAUGUUCUGCCUUGUGUUAUCACUGCUUCCUGUUGGCAGUGGGGUCCUAGCUUCUCCUGCAGGCCUCUGGGACUGUCCUGCCAAGCCUCGUCUUGUGAUGUGGGUACCAGGCACUGCCCCUAGCCUGCGGUGCUGCCUCUCACUUCCUACUGGCCUCCAGCCGGGCCCUCACCCUCUCUUCCUCAGUUCCUCGAAAGCUCGAAGCUGCUCCCCAACUCAAGGCCUUGGCUGGCUGCCUGUUCUGCCUGGAGACUCCUCCCUUUGCCCCUGGGCGAGGCUGGUGGUUGUUUUACCUAAAAGCAUCUGCAGCGUGGUUAUUUCACAGGGCUCCCUUUCCUGACCGGCCUCAUCUGCCCCUCCCCUGCCCAACCCUGUUCCAGGCUGGCAGAGUCCAUGGCUGUCUGGGUGUCCCCGUUGCCUCUUGGUGCCACUCCUCACACAUGCAGAGUCUCCUUCUGGGGCCUCCUCUCAGUCCCCGAGUCCCAAAGGACAGUAGGGUUUUGUGUCUUCCUUGUUUGCCACAGCGCCCCAGCACCAGCUCAGGGCCUGGCACACAGCAGGUGCUCCAUGAAUGAAUGAAUGAUGGAUAAAUUAACGUGUAUCCUGGUUUCCCACAGACGAGCGAGUUGUGGAGUUGGGCUUUCUGGCUUAGAAUCCCAGCCUCCCACUCAGUGCUUCUCUGCACCUCUACUUCCUCCUCUGGAAAAAGAGAAUCAUAAUCUUGAUAAUAACAUUACAGAUGGGACAGUGGUGAGAAUUAAAUGCCCCAAUACAGGACAGGCACAGAGCACCGUGUCUUGUCACAGCGUAAUGGCUCCAUUAUCAUCUGUUCUUUUAUUGUUAUUAUUGCAUUUCCUAGCCUCCCCCUCCUGGCCCCCAUCUGAGGCUUUGCUUGGAUAAUUCCUUUUGCUUUAUCUUUAUAAAAUGCUUAUAUAGCAUUGACUCUGUGUCAAGGACUGCCCUAAAUGCUAUACAAAAAUUGUAAAUGAUUUUUAUUAUUCUUUUUUAUUACAGUUGAUUUAUAGUCUGUCAGUUUCUGCUGUACAGCAAAGUGACCCAGUCGUACCCACACACACACACACACACACACACACACACACACAUUCUUUUUCUCACAUUAUCCUCUGUCAUAUUCCAUCACAAGGGACUAGAUAUAGUUCCCUGGGCUAUACAGCCGUUUAAUCAUCCUAACAACCACCUCGUGUCGGUUAUACCCACUUUACAGACGGGAAAACCGAGGCACAGAGAAAGUAAGAAACUUGCCCAAGAUGACUGGCAAGGUGACAGACUGACCCUUGACCCUGCACAGUCUGGUUCUAGAGUCCUGCUCCGAAUGCCCAUGUGCUGCCUCCCAGCCACGGGAUGCAGAAAAAUGUGCCUUCCUCUUUUGCCCAUGUCUCCCCAGUGCUUUCCUCUUCCUGUGCUGCUGGCAUCUGGUCCUGCACUUUUCUCCUUGGAGGCCGUCCCAGGGUUCGCCUCCAGCUAGGGGUGCCAGGUUGAGCAAACACAAAUACAGGUGCCCAUGCAAUAUUUGGGGGCAUACUGAUACUAAAAAAGUGUUCCCUGUUUGUCCGAAAUUCUCAUUUACCUGAGGUUCCUGUAUUUUAACUGGCCACCCUACAUCUAGCACCAGAGGGUGGCGGCGUGGUUUGGGGCCACCCACCUGCAUGUGGUGGUCUCAGACACCCACGCGUGGAGUGCCCUGGGGUCUGCCGUGGUCCAGGCGGUAGGCACACUUGUGAACUCUCCUGGAGGGCAGAGCGGCAGUCGGGCUCUCCCAGGGAAGGAGGAGGAAGACUUUGGAUAGGCCGCAUCGGUCAAGGAGGACCAGUCCAUCAGGGUGGAAGCAGCAUCUUAAGCAACUGCCGGGGAGGAGAAGUCAGGGGCACAGCAGAAUGUCAGCAGGGCACCGAGCGGGAAGGGCAGGGGUCGUGGUGGGGAAGGGUUAGAAGGCUGCAUGCCUAGGUCAUGGCCAAAUUGUGCAGGGCCUUGGGUGGCCAAGGAGUCUGGGCUUGUUCGCCUGAGUCGCAAGGAUCCAUGGAGGACUCCAAGAGGAGGGCGACGUGAUUAGGUGUCACCUCCCAGGAAGGUCUCUGGGGUGAAGAGGUUGGGAGGGGCUGGGGCUGGGAGGCAAGAGAAACCUCGGUCCAGGGAAGUCCUUGCCCAGAGGGCUGGGGAUAAGCACGUCGUGUCUCCAUUCCUGGAAUUCUUUGCUUCAUCCUAAAACACCUUAUGCAGAGAGGGAAGAAGUAAAAGAUGGUUCGUGGUCCCGUUUCUCAUCCAGAGAGCAGUUUGGCUGUGUGGGUGUUUUUCGCCCAACCCUCUGUCGGUAGGUCUCUAGCACCCAGAGGAAGGGGUGCAGCAGGAGGAAGGAAGUGCUGGAGUUUGGAGUGAGGGUGGAGGGUGUUCCUGGUUUGCUUCUAAAUCAGUGUCUUGGGCAGAUGCUGGAGGAUUGGGUCAAAGGCGUUGCUGGGAGGAUGUGCCUGCCCGGCGAAUAUUAGCCCUAAUCAAUCUUGUAUACAGAACACUCUUCAAGCAACUGUCUGAGCUCCAUUGCAAUUUUCUGUCUUAGCAACUAGUCGUUGCUUCUGAACACAUCCAGGUUCUUAACGGUGAGCGAUUUAAAGCUGUAAAAGAAUUGUCAUAAACAGCUCCCCGGAGCCAAGAGCACGGCCCAGAUUUUAAGCACAUAAUGGAAUCAUAUCAAAAGCAAGGAGGGGCAGCAGGAACCAUAAAUCCUCGAAGUGCAAAAUCUGUCCAUCGUGAAACUUGUGCUGAAGGGAAACCAGAUGUGGAUGCUGGAGAGUCAGCCGCCGGAGGGAGGCAGGCAGGCAGGCGCGGAGGAAAGAGUCCUAUUCGCAGGGAGCUGCUGCCCACGGAGAGCUGGCAGAGGCUCAGGCCGGGGAGGGGGGCAGGUUGGUCCAGUCGGCGUGGCCGCGGGUGGGGGUGGGGGGCAGCAUCAAAAGGAAAAAGCAGAGGCUGCAGGUGACUGUGCUUGUUGCUGCUGCUUCAGCCGAACCAAUGCAAGCAUUUUAUAGACUUUUCCUGAACUUGUGCCGUUGAAGACACCACAUUUGGAGCAGUUCUUUAACCAUGGAUUUGAAAUAUUACCAAAAAAGCCAACAGUGUUUAUCCUGUAGAGGAAGGGGAACCGAGGUGUGGAAAUCCCUCUGGAUGGGGUAAAAAGCAUGGUUACCCAUUUGGUCCUCCUUGGCCUGAGACAGGGGGGCGGGGUGUGGAUUGAUGCACCAAGUCUUUUGAAAACAACAGGGUAAACCCUUGCUGAGCACCCACUCUGUGCCAGACACCAUGCCAGGCCUGCAGGGGCUGCAAGAGGCCAGCAGCUCCCCGAGAUGCCUGCAGCGAAGGGAGCCAAAGGCAGCAGGUGGGGGGCAGUCCUGGAAGUGGGCUUCUGACAGGAGUUCUUGGAUUUCACAGGGAUCCCUGGGCAGUCCCAUUCAGACAGGGGGCAGGAGUGCUGUCGUGGUGCCGCUAGGCUUGAAAUGGACACAGACGGGUGCGAGGGAUUUCCGUGGGUGCAGAAGGGUAGAGGGUGGGGUGGGCCACAGGGACCGAGUAGCAGCGGUAAGGCCUGGAGGCUAAGGAGGGUGAUGGAUUGGGGGAGGGAGGUGUCGGGAGAGCCUUGAACCCCGGUAUCAGGAACUUGUAAUGAAGUCAAUUGGAAAAUUGAAUUUGGUGCUUGAGUCUCUUUGAGGUCAUUUCAACUCCCAUGUUGGGGGGAGG
This 4561-nucleotide long non-coding RNA is filed under the name Sus scrofa (pig). RNAcentral's name for it is "lncRNA (ENSSSCG00000058843.1)". The record is from RNAcentral. Lineage: Eukaryota; Metazoa; Chordata; Mammalia; Artiodactyla; Suidae.